UACGGGAGGCAGCAGUGGGGAAUAUUGCACAAUGGGCGCAAGCCUGAUGCAGCCAUGCCGCGUGUAUGAAGAAGGCCUUCGGGUUGUAAAGUACUUUCAGUCGUGAGGAAGGUGUUAAGGUUAAUAACCUUAGCAAUUGACGUUAGCGACAGAAGAAGCACCGGCUAACUCCGUGCCAGCAGCCGCGGUAAUACGGAGGGUGCGAGCGUUAAUCGGAAUUACUGGGCGUAAAGGGCACGCAGGCGGUUAAUUAAGUUGGAUGUGAAAUCCCCGGGCUUAAACCUGGGAAUGGCAUUCAAGACUGGUUAGCUAGAGUCUUGUAGAGGGGGUAGAAUUCCAUGUGUAGCGGUGAAAUGCGUAGAGAUGUGGAGGAAUACCGGUGGCGAAGGCGGCCCCUGGACAAAGACUGACGCUCAUGUGCGAAAGCGUGGGGAGCAAACAGGGAUUAGAUACC
RNAcentral lists this ribosomal RNA (454 nucleotides) under uncultured bacterium. RNAcentral describes it as "bacterial SSU rRNA". It matches the Rfam family "Bacterial small subunit ribosomal RNA", at positions 340 to 786 of the family's 1533-position model. The record is from RNAcentral.